RNAcentral lists this ribosomal RNA (253 nucleotides) under uncultured bacterium. Its description in RNAcentral is "partial 16S ribosomal RNA". It matches the Rfam family "Bacterial small subunit ribosomal RNA", at positions 524 to 776 of the family's 1533-position model. The record is from RNAcentral.
UACGUAGGGGGCGAGCGUUGUCCGGAUUUACUGGGCGUAAAGCGCGUGUAGGCGGCCCGUUAAGUGGGGUGUGAAAGCCCGGGGCUCAACCCCGGGACGCCGCUUCAAACUGGCGGGCUUGAGUUCGGGAGAGGGAUGCGGAAUUCCAGGUGUAGCGGUGAAAUGCGUAGAUAUCUGGAGGAACACCGGUGGCGAAGGCGGCAUCCUGGACCGAUACUGACGCUGAGGAGCGAAAGCCAGGGGAGCAAACGGG